Molecule: unclassified non-coding RNA, 1577 nt
Filed under: Megachile rotundata (alfalfa leafcutting bee)
Lineage: Eukaryota; Metazoa; Arthropoda; Insecta; Hymenoptera; Megachilidae
Description: probable isocitrate dehydrogenase [NAD] subunit alpha, mitochondrial, transcript variant X1
Source: RNAcentral
AAGAAAUUGAAAUUUGAUAUGAAUCAUUGAGAUUACAAUUUUUUUUUGCUAUUUUUUUGAGGAGUUUUGUAUGAGAAUAUCAGCAAAUGUGGAGCCACCCGUCAGGUCGUAUAUCACGUCGUUUCCGAAUAGCAGAAGACAUCGCCUCGCGGUAACCAAUCACGAGUGCAGCUUGUUCAUCUCUCGUUUUUGGUAGUACUUCUGACGUGCGCAACUGAAGGUGGUGGAAGUUCGUAUUUUUAUUGUAAAAUUUGUAAAGAGAAUGGCAGCUCACUGGAUGCGAAAUGCUGUCCCAAAAAUCGGCUCUGUCCGCUUUUAUAGUAGUAAAGUUCACAAAUGUACACUUAUUCCUGGAGACGGUAUAGGACCAGAGAUCUCUGCUGCUGUCCAGAAAAUUUUUGAUGCUGCCAAGGUACCGAUAGAAUGGGAAUCUGUAGAUGUCACACCGGUAAAAGGUCCAGAUGGAAAAUUUGGAAUCCCACAAGCUGCAAUCGAUUCAGUUAAUAGGAAUAAAAUUGGUUUGAAAGGACCUUUAAUGACUCCUAUAGGCAAAGGACAUAGGUCUUUAAAUCUUGCCUUAAGGAAAGAAUUUAAUUUAUAUGCAAAUGUUCGACCCUGUCGUUCCUUAGAAGGUUAUAAAACAUUAUAUGACAAUGUUGAUGUUGUCACAAUAAGAGAAAACACAGAGGGAGAGUAUUCUGGUAUAGAACACGAAAUUGUGGAAGGUGUUGUACAGUCUAUUAAGUUGAUUACAGAAGAAGCUUCCAGACGAGUAGCAGAAUUUGCUUUCCAAUAUGCUCAGAAUAACAAUAGAAAAAAGGUUACUGCUGUACAUAAAGCAAAUAUUAUGAGAAUGUCAGAUGGUUUAUUCUUAAGGUGCUCUAGGGAAGCUGCACAAAAAUUCCCUUCUAUUAAAUUCGAAGAAAGGUAUCUAGAUACAGUAUGUUUAAAUAUGGUGCAAGAUCCCAGCCAAUACGAUGUACUUGUAAUGCCUAACUUAUACGGAGAUAUUUUAUCUGACAUGUGUGCUGGUCUGGUAGGAGGACUUGGCCUUACACCAAGUGGCAAUAUUGGUUUGAAUGGUGCAUUGUUUGAAUCUGUGCACGGAACCGCUCCGGAUAUUGCAGGUCAAGAUAAAGCAAACCCGACAGCCUUGCUACUAUCUGCUGUGAUGAUGCUUAAAUAUAUGGGAUUGAACCAACACGCAAAAAUUAUCGAAAACGCUGCCUAUGACACCAUUAAGGAAGGCAAAUAUCUAACAGGAGAUCUUGGAGGAAAAGCAAAAUGUAGUGAAUACACUGAUGAAAUUUGCAAAAAGGUUGCAGCAGUAGCGAAGUAGAUAGUGUAAAUGUUUAUGAAAUAUAAACUGCCGAAUACUCGUAGAAAUGAUUCGCGUCAGGUGAUGGCGUGUGUCUUGUACAAGGUGCAUCUCGGGUUGCAGCGGGGGUGGUUUACACAAAGGUGGAACAUACUCGAGGGCGAAGUGUGGAAAAGCAAGUGGACGCAUGCAUAUUCAGCGUACUCGGAGGCCGACGUAGUCAUAGGAAUAAUAAAAAUUCGAGGGUUGAAAUUAUUUA